Caenorhabditis elegans is the source of this 290-nucleotide non-coding RNA. Ensembl annotates it as ncRNA. Its record names the gene anr-9. The record is from Ensembl. Lineage: Eukaryota; Metazoa; Nematoda; Chromadorea; Rhabditida; Rhabditidae.
UGCUUACAUUCAAUUUCAGCCACUCUUUCAACGUCGGCCACCAUUCUGCACAAAACCAAUAUCUGAGGAAUUGACGAAUUCUCUGAGCAACUCGUUUUGUUCGUUCUACGAUCGCCACGUGGAUCCAGUUUUUGAUACCAUUGACGAGUUCACGACAUGAUUCACGGAAAUUGAAGAUAAAAUGCUUUACGUAGGCGAUUAGAGCUGUAAAAAGAGAGGGGGUUUUCGAUUUUUUAAAGAAAAUAUUUCAAAUUUUUUGAAAAAUUUUUUUUCAAUAAAUUAUGUUUUUU